Molecule: ribosomal RNA, 460 nt
Filed under: uncultured bacterium
Lineage: Bacteria
Description: partial 16S ribosomal RNA
Rfam family: Bacterial small subunit ribosomal RNA
Source: RNAcentral
CCUACGGGUGACUGCAGUGAGGAAUAUUGGUCAAUGGGCGCGAGUCUGAACCAGCCAAGCAGCGUGCAGGACGACGGCUCUAUGAGUUGUAAACUUCUUUUAUAAGAGAGUAAACUCAGGUACGCGUCUCUGUCUGAAAGUAUCUUCAGAAUAAGGAUCGGCUAACUCCGUUCCAGCAGCCGCGGUAAUACGGAGGAUUCAAGCGUUAUCCGGAUUUAUUGGGUUUAAAGGGGGCGUAGGCGGGCUGAUAAGUUAGUGGUGAAAGCCCGGGGCUCAACUUCGGAAUUGCCGUUGAUACUGGUCGGCUAGAGAGCAGGUGCGGUAGGCGGAAUGUAUGGUGUAGCGGUGAAAUGCUUAGAGAUCAUACAGAACACCGAUUGCGAAGGCAGCUUACCAAGCUACCUCUGACGUUGAGGCACGAAAGCGUGGGUAGCAAACAGGAUUAGAUACCCCAGUAGUC